Molecule: unclassified non-coding RNA, 235 nt
Filed under: Amanita sp. SB2
Lineage: Eukaryota; Fungi; Basidiomycota; Agaricomycetes; Agaricales; Amanitaceae
Description: sequence contains 18S rRNA gene, ITS1, 5.8S rRNA gene, ITS2 and 28S rRNA gene
Source: RNAcentral
AGGUCAUUACUGAACGUUGACACGAGCUGUUGCUGGCCCUCGAAAGGGUGAAAAAAGGGCGCUCUGUUUACACAUACACUUUAACGUGCAAACACGGGGAACCCCGGGGUGGCCUCCUCUCCCGUUCCCGGUCUUGUUCAUAUCUCCAGACACAGUGGCAAACACAACGGGGGAAGCUCGCGUUAAUGUAUUUUUUUUUUUUUGUUGUGUUUUUUUUCCCCCCCAGACCGGCACA